CCCAAGGCGCUUGAGAGAACUCGGGUGAAGGAACUAGGCAAAAUGGCACCGUAACUUCGGGAGAAGGUGCGCCCUUUGGUGUGGUCACGUGCGUGACUGAGCAUCGAAGGGUCGCAGUAACCUGGCCGCUGCGACUGUUUAUCAAAAACACAGCACUCUGCAAACACGAAAGUGGACGUAUAGGGUGUGACGCCUGCCCGGUGCUGGAAGGUUAAUUGAUGGGGUCAGCCGCAAGGCGAAGCUCUUGAUCGAAGCCCCAGUAAACGGCGGCCGUAACAAUAACGGUCCUAAGGUAGCGAAAUUCCUUGUCGGGUAAGUUCCGACCUGCACGAAUGGCGUAACGACAGCGGCGCUGUCUCCACCCGAGACUCAGUGAAAUUGAAAUCGCUGUGAAGAUGCAGCGUUCCCGCGGCAAGACGGAAAGACCCCGUGAACCUUUACUAUAGCUUUACACUGAACGUUGAGUUCUUCUGUGUAGGAUAGGUGGGAGGCUAUGAAACCAGGACGCUAGUUCUGGUGGAGCCAUCCUUGAAAUACCACCCUGAAGUGCUUGACGUUCUAACCUAGGCCCGUAAUCCGGGUCAGGGACCGUGUAUGGUGGGUAGUUUGACUGGGGCGGUCUCCUCCCAAAGAGUAACGGAGGAGCACGAAGGUACGCUCAGCGCGGUCGGACAUCGCGCACUGUGUGCAAAGGCAUAAGCGUGCUUGACUGCGAGAUCGACGGAUCAAGCAGGUACGAAAGUAGGUCUUAGUGAUCCGGUGGUUCUGUAUGGAAGGGCCAUCGCUCAACGGAUAAAAGGUACUCCGGGGAUAACAGGCUGAUACCGCCCAAGAGUUCAUAUCGACGGCGGUGUUUGGCACCUCGAUGUCGGCUCAUCACAUCCUGGGGCUGUAGCCGGUCCCAAGGGUAUGGCUGUUCGCCAUUUAAAGUGGUACGCGAGCUGGGUUCUGAACGUCGUGAGACAGUUCGGUCCCUAUCUGUCGUGGGCGUUGGAGAUUUGAGGGGGGCUGCUCCUAGUACGAGAGGACCGGAGUGGACGUUCCGCUGGUGUUCGGGUUGUCAUGCCCAUGGCAUUGCCCGGUAGCUACGAACGGAAGUGAUAACCGCUGAAAGCAUCUAAGCGGGAAGCACGCCCCAAGAUGAGAUCUCCCGAGAGCUUGACUCUCCUAAAGGCACCAUCAAGACUAGGUGGUUGAUAGGUCAGGUGUGGAAGCGCAGCAAUGCGUUGAGCUAACUGAUACUAAUGAGCCGUGAGGCUUGACUG
RNAcentral lists this ribosomal RNA (1265 nucleotides) under metagenome. Its description in RNAcentral is "bacterial LSU rRNA". It matches the Rfam family "Bacterial large subunit ribosomal RNA", at positions 1680 to 2925 of the family's 2925-position model. The record is from RNAcentral.